RNAcentral lists this ribosomal RNA (253 nucleotides) under uncultured bacterium. Its description in RNAcentral is "partial 16S ribosomal RNA". It matches the Rfam family "Bacterial small subunit ribosomal RNA", at positions 524 to 776 of the family's 1533-position model. The record is from RNAcentral.
AACGUAGGAGACAAACGUUAUCCGGAGUUACUGGGCGUAAAGGGCGUGUAGGCGGUUAGUUAAGUCAGGGGUGAAAUCCCGGGGCUCAACCUCGGAACUGCCUUUGAUACUGCAAAUCUCGAGUCCGGAAGAGGUGAGUGGAAUUCCUAGUGUAGAGGUGAAAUUCGUAGAUAUUAGGAAGAACACCAGUGGCGAAGGCGACUCACUGGACAUGUAUUGACGCUGAGGUGCGAAAGCGUGGGGAGCAAACAGG